GGGGCGUUAACUCAGUGGUAGAGUGCCACCUUCACACGGUGGAAGUCACUGGUUCAAAUCCAGUACGCCCCACCA
RNAcentral lists this transfer RNA (75 nucleotides) under Candidatus Polarisedimenticola svalbardensis. RNAcentral's name for it is "tRNA-Val". It matches the Rfam family "tRNA". Rfam says of the family: Transfer RNA (tRNA) molecules are approximately 80 nucleotides in length. Their secondary structure includes four short double-helical elements and three loops (D, anti-codon, and T loops). The record is from RNAcentral. RNAcentral also lists the same sequence under 1 other name. Lineage: Bacteria; Pseudomonadati; Acidobacteriota; Candidatus Polarisedimenticolia; Candidatus Polarisedimenticolales; Candidatus Polarisedimenticolaceae.